RNAcentral lists this ribosomal RNA (498 nucleotides) under uncultured bacterium. RNAcentral describes it as "partial 16S ribosomal RNA". It matches the Rfam family "Bacterial small subunit ribosomal RNA", at positions 30 to 523 of the family's 1533-position model. The record is from RNAcentral.
AUUGAACGCUGGCGGCAUGCCUUACACAUGCAAGUCGAAUGGUAACGGGCCUUCGGGUGCCGACGAGUGGCGAACGGGUGAGUAAUACAUCGGAACGUGCCCGAUCGUGGGGGAUAACGAGGCGAAAGCUUUUCUAAUACCGCAUACGAACUACGGAUGAAAGCAGGGGACCGCAAGGCCUUGUGCAGACGGAGCGGCCGAUGGCAGAUUAGGGAGUUGGUGGGAUAAAAGCUUACCAAGCCGACGAUCUGUAGCUGGUCUGAGAGGAUGAUCAGCCACACUGGGACUGAGACACGGCCCAGACUCCUACGGGAGGCAGCAGUGGGGAAUUUUGGACAAUGGGCGCAAGCCUGAUCCAGCCAUGCCGCGUGCAGGAUGAAGGCCUUCGGGUUGUAAACUGCUUUUGUACGGAACGAAAAGCCUUCUUCUAAUACAGGAGGGUCAUGACGGUACCGUAAGAAUAAGCACCGGCUAACUACGUGCCAGCCGCCGCCGUAA